AUUCUGGCUCAGGAUGAACGCUAGCGGCAGGCUUAACACAUGCAAGUCGAGGGGCAGCGGGAUGUAGCAGUACAUUGCCGGCGACCGGCGGAUGGGUGCGUAACGCGUAUGCAACCUACCUUAUACAGGGGAAUAACCUUUCGAAAGGGAGACUAACACCCCAUGGUAUUGAUUUAAGGCAUCUUAGAUUAAUUAAAUAUUUAUAGGUAUAAGAUGGGCAUGCGUAUGAUUAGCUAGUUGGUAAGGUAACGGCUUACCAAGGCGACGAUCAUUAGGGGUUCUGAGAGGAAGGUCCCCCACACUGGUACUGAGACACGGACCAGACUCCUACGGGAGGCAGCAGUGAGGAAUAUUGGUCAAUGGGCGCAAGCCUGAACCAGCCAUGCCGCGUGCAAGGAAGACGGCCUUAUGGGUUGUAAACUGCUUUUACAUAAGACUAACCGUAUAUUUGCGAAUAUACCUGAAUGUAUUAUGAGAAUAAGGAUCGGCUAACUCCGUGCCAGCCGCAGC
RNAcentral lists this ribosomal RNA (510 nucleotides) under uncultured bacterium. Its description in RNAcentral is "bacterial SSU rRNA". It matches the Rfam family "Bacterial small subunit ribosomal RNA", at positions 16 to 518 of the family's 1533-position model. The record is from RNAcentral.